This 253-nucleotide ribosomal RNA is filed under the name uncultured bacterium. RNAcentral describes it as "partial 16S ribosomal RNA". It matches the Rfam family "Bacterial small subunit ribosomal RNA", at positions 524 to 776 of the family's 1533-position model. The record is from RNAcentral.
UACGUAGGGUGCGAGCGUUAAUCGGAAUUACUGGGCGUAAAGCGUGCGUAGGCGGUUCGCUGUGUCCGAUGUGAAAGCCCCGGGCUUAACCUGGGAAUGGCAUUGGAAACUGGCGGGCUUGAGUGCGGCAGAGGGGGGUGGAAUUCCGCGUGUAGCAGUGAAAUGCGUAGAGAUCGGGAGGAACACCAGUGGCGAAGGCGGCUACCUGGACCAGCACUGACACUGAAGCACGAAAGCGUGGGGAGCAAACAGG